This 254-nucleotide ribosomal RNA is filed under the name uncultured bacterium. RNAcentral describes it as "partial 16S ribosomal RNA". It matches the Rfam family "Bacterial small subunit ribosomal RNA", at positions 334 to 604 of the family's 1533-position model. The record is from RNAcentral.
UUUUCCUACGGGGCGCAGCAGUGGGGUAUAUUGCACAAUGGGGGAAACCCUGAUGCAGCGACGCCGCGUGAGUGAAGAAGUAUUUCGGUAUGUAAAGCUCUAUCAGCAGGGAAGAAAAAAGACGGUACCUGACUAAGAAGCCCCGGCUAACUACGUGCCAGCAGCCGCGGUAAUACGUAGGGGGCAAGCGUUAUCCGGAAUUACUGGGUGUAAAGGGUGCGGAGGUGGCAUGGUAAGUCAGAAGUGAAAGCCCG